This is a long non-coding RNA of Oreochromis niloticus (Nile tilapia), 1584 nucleotides long. RefSeq lists it as uncharacterized. The record is from RefSeq and is a predicted model, not a curated record. The transcript has 3 exons. Lineage: Eukaryota; Metazoa; Chordata; Actinopteri; Cichliformes; Cichlidae.
CAGCCAGGGCACAUGAUACACUGCAAUAGCUGCACAUCGUUUACAGAGAAAAUAAGAAUCAGUGUGAUGAGAGGGCAGCUCGGUUUAAACUAUCAGGAUAUUUAUUUAUUACAGCUGUUUGUAAUAACAUGCUCCACUGUCUUGUGCUCACAUAAUUUGCUCUGGCAUUAUUAAAGUAUUCUGAUUCUGAGCCCCUGAUGUUGUCACAGAUCCCGGCAGGUGUGGAUAAAGGUUCCUCCUUCGUGUGUGCGUACCUUUGCCAGCAUUAGCUCCCACAGACUCAUCACUUUGGUCAGACGAGGAAGAACGAUGUCCAUCAGCUCCUCAUCCUUGCACUGCUCCACCACCUGUGAGCGACGUGAUAGGACACUCAGGUGUCAGCACAUCAGAUUCUGUCUCUCACAGUGGAAAUGCACCUAUGCUGAAAAUUGUAGACCCCUCCAUGAUUUCUAAUUGCUGCCAUCACCCCAAUAUUGAAAACAACAACAACAACAACAAAAAAACAGGUCUAGACCUCAAUAAUUUUGACAAUUUUUGUCCUAUUUCCAAUCUACCAUUCCUCUCAAAAAUUCUUAAGAAGAUAGUUGCCACACAACUCCACUCACACUUAACUAACAAUAAUCUGUAUGAAUAUUUCCAGUCUGGUUUUCUGGUUUAAUCCUGAUUCUGCUCUUCCCCCAUCCUCCCUCACCCUCUGUUUAGCCGAACUAAAUUCAUGGUUCUCUUCUAAUUUUCUUAAACUCAACAGUAACAAAUCCGAGCUUCUCUUGGUCGGCUCUAAAUCAACAUUAUCCAGAAAUAACAGUUUCUCUAUUACAAUCAAUACUCAAUCAAAAAAUAAAACUCGCCGGUCUCCGUUUCUUCCUCUGUGAAAAGUUUGGGUGUCAUCCUCGACAGUACUCUGUCUUUCCAUUCACACAUCAAUAAUGUCACUCAGUCUGCAUAUUUUCAAUUGCGCAACAUUAAUCGUCUCCGUCCUUUUCUCUCCCCACAUGCCACACCCAUUCUUGUUCACAGCCUUGUUACUUCUCAGAUUGAUUACUGCAAUUCACUUCUUUUUGGUUUUACUCAAAAAUCCAUCCACAAGCUCCAAUGUGUCCAGAACUCUGCUGCCCGUAUUAUCAUCGGGAUCCCUUCUAUCCACCACAUCACUUCUGUCCUGCAGCAGCUUCAUUGGCUCCCGGUCAAAUAUCGCAUCAAUUUCAAAAUACUUCUGCACACAUUUAAGGCUAUUCAACAUCUCUCCCUCUCUCUGAUUUGGUUCAGAUCACCAUUCCAUCUCGGUGUCUUAGAUCUUCUUCUUCUCUCUCUCUGUCCCCUCUCCCUGUCUUUCCACCAUGGGGAGCAGGGCUUUCAGCUGCUCUGCUCCUCGACUUUGGAAUUCCCUUCCUCCUGAUAUAAGAAAUAUCACUUCAUUCUCUCUCCCUUGUUCAAAAUAGCUCAACCCACAUAACACUCUAUUUCAAUUUUUUUUUGUCUUAUGCUCUUAUGAUUGUGUAAAUUGCUUGCUUUUAUUAUUCUGCUGUGUACAGUGUCCUUGAGUGCUCUGAAAGGCGCUUUCAAAUAAAAUGUAGUAUUAUCAUU